RNA transcript from Dermacentor albipictus, 1005 nucleotides. RefSeq lists it as uncharacterized. NCBI's taxonomy places the organism in Eukaryota, Metazoa, Arthropoda, Arachnida, Ixodida, Ixodidae. The record is from RefSeq and is a predicted model, not a curated record.
AAAUGUUUUCAUUCCUCCAUAAAGGCAACUUUUUUUAAUAUUUGUUUUCUUAUAAUUUUUUUAUGUUUUCUUAUUUGUUUUCUGGGCUCGCCGCCAUUUGGCAACAGUGAUGGCAACGCACAUGGUCAAUUGGCGCCAUGGAGAAAAGAUAAGUUGGCGCUAAGGGGUUGUUUGCGCAUGAUGUGUUUGCUCUCUGGUGCGGUCGCCCAGUUCAAAACAGUAUAAUGAGUACCUUUAGCUUACAGUCAACAAAUAAUGCAAUGUGCCAAAGGCUGCGAGUACUGACAGUUUCUUCACUGCCAGCGUUCCUGUCUUGUGGCGUAAAAUGUUCGUGUGUGCCUGGUUGUGGAGAGCCGCUGGUGUCGGUCGACUCACAGCGGCGGUCGACCACAGCAGCGGUGCAUAGCCACUUGUGAGUCAGUCCGCGAGACGUGAUGCCGUGUAGCACGUGCGGAGGAAAGCGCCCAGUGGCAACGCCAUUUUCGGCUUUGUACACAAGGUAGUCGGCGACACUGGAACGCCACACAUUGUCAGCCCAACGUUCCCAGCCGUCGCAGCACAGAGAAUGCCAUGAAUUGCAUUCCCCUCCUCAGGUGGUGCAACCUUUGGAUGAAGAGGGUGCCUCUUGCACUGUGCCAGAUUUCUUCCUUCACUUUAUCAAGUUUGGAGCACUGGCAGCCAGGAGUGAAGUUGAGGUGAAAGAAAGAGUGAAGUUGUUUGGACGGCAUCUUGCAUCAAAACUGGCCAAUGUUGCUCCCCCUAAGUAGUUUUUUUUUUCCACCCAUUUUGCUUUCGUGAAAGUCACAUUUUUGUGCCGAUUUUGUAUUGCAUACAUGUAGCUUGUGCCAGUUUGCCUAGCAUCAUGUCAUCCUUUGUUAACAAUGUUCAGAUGCUAUCUAGAUUUUUAAAAUGGUUGAUACAUCUAUUUGUGAUGCCUUUUCUAGGCAUUACCUUAACUUUUCCCAGUUCAUGCCUUUUGCCACUGUCUGCUUAACCAAUGAGGUA